RNAcentral lists this long non-coding RNA (1422 nucleotides) under Carica papaya (papaya). RNAcentral describes it as "long non-coding RNA (CPAP_LNC006958)". The record is from RNAcentral. Lineage: Eukaryota; Viridiplantae; Streptophyta; Magnoliopsida; Brassicales; Caricaceae.
AAACAAGUGAAACAAAUGAAUGCAAUACACCAGUGUCAAACAAAACAUGAGUAAGAUGGUUACAGAUCAGUGUACAUACCCUGUACCACGUUCGGGUCGGCAUCGGCAUCCUGCUGGGUGAGGUUGUAAGCCCUACCCUGGAUAAGAGGUCUUCUAUGAUUCUGGUUCAUUAGGCACUUUAUCACAUAGUGUUGAGCACUACCACAUAUGCGACAGGCAUUGUUGAGGCGGUAGCAUGGUCGGUCCCUGUGAUCCCUGCCGCAAUGCUGACAGAUCUUACCACGUCUUACCACUGGAGCCUGAGGGGGAGCUUGGAUCACCGGUCUGGGCCUCUUGUUCUGUUGGACAAGCGUUGUAGGAGCUGGUCUGCGGGGUGGAGCUGAGGGUAUGUGGUUCCCUACUGACUGAGAGAGGGUGUGGAGGCUCCUCUCCACUAACUGUGACUUGGCCAGAACGACCGAGUAAGUCCAGAGCUCCAGUACAAAUAAAUGCUGCUUGAUCUCUAGGCAGAGGCCCUAGUGGAACCUCCUAGCCUUCCUGCCCUCAUCCAUCAAAGUCUUAGGGGAGUAUCGGCCCAACUCCAGGAACUUACGAGCAUAUUCUGACACCGUCAUGUUCCCUUGGACCAACUGGACAAACUCUAUCUCAUUCAGAUGUCGGAUGUGCUUUAAGAGGUACUCUGCAUGAAAGGCUGCUAGGAACUGUUCCCGAGUAACUGGAACAGGCAAGGUGGUUUGCUUGAGUUCCCACCAGCGGUCUGCUUCUCCCACCAGCAUGUAAGUAGCAAGGGUGAUCCUCUACUCGGGAGUAACUCCUAGGAUCUUGAAGGCCUUCUCCAUCUCUGCCAACCAGUACUGGGCAUCUUCAAAAGAGGAUUUCCUUGCAAAAGUAGAUGGGUUCAAUCUCCUGUACCUCUCUACGUAUCCUGGGUCAAUCAUGAAAGGAGUUGGGUCCCGCAGAAUAGGGACUGGGCCAGGCUGAGGAUGGACUAGGGGGCCCUGUGGUGGUACUUGCUGAUAUGGUGAGGCUAUUGGAUUAUACUGUGGCAGUGUCAGGCAGUACUGUGGCUGGGGCACCGGAUUAUACUACGGCGGUAGCACCGAGUGAUACUGUGGAGGAGCAGGCUCGUACCGGGGUGGCUCGGGAUCCUCUCGCUGCAGUGGUGGCUCAACCUGUGACAGUUGGGGAGGGUCGGGUAGCUCCCUUCUCUCCUUUCAACCCUGCUGGGCAGCAAUGAGUCUCUCUAGCAUCUCAAAUAUCUUAUCAACGUCUUCCCAAAGCGAACCAUCCUGGGCUGCUCAGUUCAGUAGGGGUCUUCCUCUUCUCAUCUCUUCGUACCUGCAUUUCACAAGGAAUGGUUGAGUAAUGAUUCAUUGGUUUAGUGUUUCUCUAAGUAUCAUUGUGUAAGGGAUGAGUCCGAAC